GUUAUACGUUAUACCGUAAUACCAUAUAACGUUAUACGUUAUAACGUAAUACCACAUGACGUUAUACGUUAUAACGUAAUACUAUAUAACGUUAUACGUUAUAACGUAAUACUAUAUAACGUUAUACGUUAUAACGUAAUACUACAUAACGUUAUACGUUAUAACGUAAUAGUAUAUAACGUUAUACGUUAUAACGUUUCAC
Molecule: unclassified non-coding RNA, 202 nt
Filed under: Bombus terrestris (buff-tailed bumblebee)
Lineage: Eukaryota; Metazoa; Arthropoda; Insecta; Hymenoptera; Apidae
Description: misc RNA ENSBTSG00005038438.1
Source: RNAcentral